UGGGGAAUAUUGGACAAUGGGGGAAACCCUGAUCCAGCGAUGCCGCGUGGGUGAAGAAGGCCUUCGGGUUGUAAAGCCCUUUAGGUUGGGAAGAAGUAUAUGAGGGGAAUAUCCUUGUAUAUUGACGGUACCGACAGAAUAAGCACCGGCAAACUCUGUGCCAGCAGCCGCGGUAAUACAGAGGGUGCGAGCGUUAAUCGGAAUUACUGGGCGUAAAGGGCGCGUAGGCGGUAGUAUGUGUGGGAUGUGAAAGCCCCGGGCUUAACCUGGGAAGUGCAUACCAAACUAUAUUACUGGAGUAUAUGAGAGGGUGGUGGAAUUUCCGGUGUAGCAGUGAAAUGCGUAGAGAUCGGAAGGAACGUCAAUGGCGAAGGCAGCCACCUGGCAUAAUACUGACGCU
RNAcentral lists this ribosomal RNA (400 nucleotides) under uncultured bacterium. Its description in RNAcentral is "bacterial SSU rRNA". It matches the Rfam family "Bacterial small subunit ribosomal RNA", at positions 355 to 747 of the family's 1533-position model. The record is from RNAcentral.